UGGGGGCGGGCGCCGCUUGGAGGCGGAAGCAGCCGCAGGCAUGGCGGCGGCCUUGCCGCUUGUCCUGCUCGUGCUGCUGCUCCUGGGUCCGGUGGGCAGGGGCCAUGCAGAGCCCCCACGCGACAGCCUGAGGGAGGAGCUCGUUAUCACCCCGCUGCCUUCUGGGGACGUAGCCGCCACGUUCCAGUUCCGCACGCGCUGGGAUUCGGAGCUGCAGCGGGAAGAAGUAUCUCAUUAUAGGCUAUUUCCCAAGGCCCUGGGGCAGUUGAUCUCCAAAUAUUCUCUACGAGAGCUGCACUUGUCAUUCACGCAAGGCUUUUGGAGGACUCGAUACUGGGGGCCACCUUUCCUGCAGGCCCCAUCAGGUGCAGAGCUCUGGGUCUGGUUCCAAGACACCGUCACUGACGUGGAUAAAUCUUGGAAGGAGCUCAGUAACGUGCUCUCGGGUAUCUUCUGCGCCUCUCUGAACUUCAUUGACUCCACCAACACGGUCACUCCCACUGCCUCCUUCAAACCCCUGGGACUGGCCAAUGCCCACCCCAGACAGCUUGAGUCUCCCUCAGGCACUGAUCACAAUUUCCUGCGCUACGCUGUGCUACCGCGAGAGGUUGUCUGCACAGAGAACCUCACCCCAUGGAAGAAGCUCUUGCCCUGCAGCUCCAAGGCAGGCCUGUCUGUGCUGCUCAAGGCUGACCGCUUGUUCCACACUAGCUACCACUCCCAGGCAGUGCAUAUCCGUCCUGUUUGCAGGAAUGCACGCUGUACCAGCGUCUCCUGGGAGCUGAGGCAGACCCUUUCUGUUGUGUUUGAUGCCUUCGUCACAGGACAGGGGAAGAAAGAUUGGUCCCUCUUUCGGAUGUUCUCCCGAACCCUGACGGAGCCCUGCCCCCUGGCUUCAGAGAGCCGAGUCUAUGUGGACAUCACCGGCUAUAACCAGGACAAUGAGACGUUGGAGGUGACCCCUCCCCCAACCACCACCUACCAGGACGUCAUCCUCGGUGCCCGGAAGACCUACGCCGUCUACGACUUGCUGGACACGGCUGUGAUCAACAACUCUCGUAACCUCAACCUCCAGCUCAAGUGGAAGAGCCCCCCAGAGAGCGAGGCCCCUCCGGUGCCCUUCCUGCACGCCCAGCGGUACGUGAGCGGCUACGGGCUGCAGAACGGGAAGCUGAACACGCUGCUGUACAACACGCACCCACACCGGGCCUUCCCCGUGCUGCUGCUGGACACCGUGCCCUGGCACCUGCGGCUGUAUGUGCACACCCUCACCAUCACUUCCAAGGGCAAGGACAACAAACCGAGUUACGUCCACUACCAGCCUGCGCAGGACCGGCUGCAGCCGCACCUCCUGGAGAUGCUGAUUCAGCUGCCGGCCAACUCGGCCACCAAGGUGUCCAUUCAGUUUGAGCGGGCGCUGCUCAAGUGGACCGAGUAUACCCCGGACCCCAACCACGGCUUCUACGUCAGCCCGUCUGUCAUCAGUGCCCUCGUGCCCAGCACGGUGGCAGCCAAGCCCGUGGACUGGGAAGAGAGCCCCCUGUUCAAGUCCCUGUACCCGGUCUCCGAUAGCUCUAGCUACUUUGUGCGCCUCUACACGGAGCCGCUGCUGGUGAACCUGCCCACGCCGGACUUCAGCAUGCCCUACAACGUCAUCUGCCUCACGUGCACGGUGGUGGCCGUGUGCUAUGGCUCCUUCUACAAUCUCCUCACCCGAACCUUCCACAUUGAGGAGCCCAGCACGGGCGGCCUGGCCAAGCGGCUGGCUAACCUUAUCCGGCGUGCCCGUGGCGUGCCGCCGCUCUGAGGCGCAUCCAUGGUCAGCUCAUCUCUGUUAACAGCACCCCUCAUCUUCCCGGUUGCCCAGGCCAAAAACCUUGGAGCCAUCCUUGAUUCUGCCCUCAUGAGCCGUGUGUGCCCUCCUCUACCUUCAAAGUGAAUCCAGGAGCCGACUCCCUUUUCACACCCCCAGUGCGGCGCUGUGGUGAGGGCUAACCUAUGCUGCAGUGUCCGGAACAGAGCCUGGCAUGCGGUUUGCAUUCCAAUGAUUGCUGAACGAAGGAGUGAAUGAAAGGAUGAAUCUCAGGCGGUAAUUUUGCUGCGAAGCAAGCCGGGUCACCCAAACAUCUGGGUUCUGAGCCUUGAAAUUCUUGCUGUGGCAGCACCUGAGCUGAAAUCAAGAGUCAGACACUUCAGCAACUGAGCCACCCAGGAGCCCCGGUUCUCAGUUCUUACUGUCCCAUGUCAUGAGUUGAUCUGAGCAACUGAUUAAAUUCUUUAGUUGUGUGUA
RNA transcript from Herpailurus yagouaroundi (jaguarundi), 2290 nucleotides. It is a transcript of the gene named phosphatidylinositol glycan anchor biosynthesis class T, with no coding region annotated. The record is from RefSeq and is a predicted model, not a curated record. Lineage: Eukaryota; Metazoa; Chordata; Mammalia; Carnivora; Felidae. The transcript is spliced from 14 exons.